RNAcentral lists this ribosomal RNA (498 nucleotides) under uncultured bacterium. RNAcentral's name for it is "bacterial SSU rRNA". It matches the Rfam family "Bacterial small subunit ribosomal RNA", at positions 899 to 1397 of the family's 1533-position model. The record is from RNAcentral.
ACUCAAAGGAAUUGACGGGGGCCCGCACAAGCGGAGGAACAUGUGGUUUAAUUCGAUGAUACGCGAGGAACCUUACCUGGGCUUGAAAGGGGAAUGACCUCCCGGGAAACCGGGAUUCUCUUCGGAGCAUUCUCCUAGGUGCUGCAUGGUUGUCGUCAGCUCGUGCCGUGAGGUGUCGGGUUAAGUCCCAUAACGAGCGCAACCCCUAUUGUUAGUUGCCAGCGGGUAAUGCCGGGAACUCUAACGAAACUGCCGGUGUAAACCGAGAGGAAGGUGGGGAUGACGUCAAAUCAGCACGGCCCUUAUGUCCAGGGCUACACACGUGUUACAAUGGCCGGUACAAAGGGCAGCUACUUGGUGACAAGAUGCUAAUCUCUAAAACCGGUCUCAGUUCGGAUCGAAGUCUGCAACUCGACUUCGUGAAGCUGGAUUCGCUAGUAAUCGCGCAUCAGCAACGGCGCGGUGAAUACGUUCCCGGGCCUUGUACACACCGCCCGU